AUCAGAUGACCUGUGCGGGCGGCAGCCUCCUGCCCUCCUCCCCUUCGUGCGCCGGCUGGAGCGAAGAGUUCUUUUGACAGCCGUGAGCUUCCCCGCCAGGAACUUACUGGGGCUGCAUCACCCUAGAAACGUGGCUUUGGGCUGUGGAAACGCUGCCUCUGUGGAAGUCUCUCCUCGCGGGGGUGGACGGGUCGCUGCGCGCCCAGCGUUCUUCUGCGGUUCUCACAGCCCGCCGCCGCCGCCGCCUCGGGGACCUUUGCGGGGAGGCCUCAGGUACCAGUCAGGACUGGUAGACUUUAAUGUGGAGAACUUCUGAAACAGCAGUUCUCAAAAUGUUACCUCCAGACACACAGAAUCUGCAUCACCCAGGAACUUGUAACCAUGCAAAUUCUCAGCCACCCAGACUUCCUGCAUCAGAAACUCUGGGGCCCAGCAGCCUGUGUUUUAACAAAGCCCUUCAGGCUGGAGUAUAGUGGCAUGAUCAUAGAUCACUGCAGCCUCAAACUCCUGGGCUCAAGCGAUCCUCCCACCUCAGCCUCCAUAUAGCUGGUGGGGACCAAGUUUCUAACACAUGAAUGUUGGGAGACACAUUCAGACCAUCGCAGUGGCCUUAUAAAAAGAGACACAAGAGCUUGCUCUCUGCCAUGUGAGAAUACCACAAGAAGACUGUCCUCAGCAAAUCAGAAAGCGGGUGGACCCUCAUCAGACACCAGAUGUGCCUGCACCUUGAUCUUGGACUUGCCAGCCUUCAGAACAGUAAGAAAGAAAUGUGUGUUGUUUAAGCCACCCAGUCUAUGGUAACUUGCUAUAGCAGCCCACUAGGAGACCCCAAGAUAUUUAAAAACUCAUCAGCACCUGCUUUCUGCAUCUGGACCCUGAUCUUCUGGUGGGUUUACCAGUUACUUGUAGAGUGUCCCUGUGAUAGUUUUAGGUGUCAACUUGACAGGAUUGAGGGAUGCCUAGAUGGCUGGGGAAGCACUGUUUCUGAGAAGGACCAUGUUUUUGGAGGAGACUGUUUUAUGAGUGAAUUUCAGGGGACACAUUCAGAUCAUGGCAGUGGCAUUAUAAAGAGAGACACAAAAGCUUGCUCUCUCUCUCUGCCAUGUAAGACUACCACACAAAGACUGCCAUCUGCAAACCAGAAGCAGGUGGGCUUUCCUCAGACACCAGAUCUGCCUGCACCUUGAUCUUGGACUUGCCAGCCUUCAGAACUCUAAGAAAGAAAUGGUAGCAUGGCUUGGUCUAAGUUGGAAGGCCUGAGAAACAAGCACAUGGUGGAACUGAGUUCAAGGAUAAAGACUUGAGAAUACCUGCUCAGUGGACUGAGUAGGGAAGAUCAACCCUCAAUGUAGGCAGGCACUAUCCAAUCACCUGAGGGCCCAGAUGGAACAAAAAGGUGGAAGAAGGGUGAAUUCUCUCUUCCAGAGCUGUGACACCCUUCUCAUGCCCUUGUACCACACAACUCUAGGUCCUUUGGCCUUUGGACUCUGACACUUGCACCAGUGGCCCUCUGGGGCUCUCAAGCCUUUAGCCUUGAACUUAGUUACACCAUGUGCCUCCUUGUUUCUCAGGCCUUCCAACUUGGAUCAGGCCAUGCCACCGGCUUCUCUGAUUCUCCAGCUUGCAGAUGGUAUAUUGUGACCCUGGCAUUUAAUAACUAUGACUUUGGUCUUAAGCAAUUUUCUUCCUCUGUGGAUUGAUAUUUACAUAUCAAUGUGGAUAAUAAUUUCUUACCACGGUAACUGUUGUGAGGUAAAAAUGAGUUAACAUAAGUAAAACCGAGCACAUGCAAACCAUCCGAAAUGGUUAAUACUUACUAUUUGUACUUGAAGAAAUAAAUGUUUUUGACAAUAAACUUCUUGUGCAGUUUUCCUCA
This 1876-nucleotide long non-coding RNA is filed under the name Homo sapiens (human). RNAcentral's name for it is "non-protein coding LINC00847:11". The record is from RNAcentral. Lineage: Eukaryota; Metazoa; Chordata; Mammalia; Primates; Hominidae.